UACGUAGGGGGCUAGCGUUGUCCGGAUUUAUUGGGCGUAAAGAGCGUGUAGGCGGCCAGGUAGGUCUGCUGUGAAAACUCGAGGCUCAACCUCGAGAUGUCGGCGGAAACCAUCUGGCUAGAGUCCGGAAGAGGAAAGUGGAAUUCCUGGUGUAGCGGCGAAAUGCGCAGAUAUCAGGAGGAACACCGAUGGCGAAGGCAGCUCGCUGGGACGGUACUGACGCUGAGGAGCGAAAGCGUGGGGAGCGAACAGG
This 253-nucleotide ribosomal RNA is filed under the name uncultured bacterium. RNAcentral's name for it is "partial 16S ribosomal RNA". It matches the Rfam family "Bacterial small subunit ribosomal RNA", at positions 524 to 776 of the family's 1533-position model. The record is from RNAcentral.